GGCAGAUCAGAGGUUUGUGUGGAACGGGAACCUCCUGAGAGAACUGGCUGCGCAGCCUGAGCUUCACAAGUUUGCACUUCCUGUUGUCCAUGGAUUCAUCGUCAUGAAGCCGUGUCGAAUCAACGGGAAGAUCUUCGAGUGGAUCCUCAUCUCCAGGAGAAGCUGUUUCCGGGCCGGCGUCAGAUACUACGUCAGAGGUAAAAAUGUCUGCUGUACUGCACCAAGCCUU
Molecule: long non-coding RNA, 229 nt
Organism: Notothenia coriiceps (black rockcod)
Lineage: Eukaryota; Metazoa; Chordata; Actinopteri; Perciformes; Nototheniidae
Exons: 3
Source: RefSeq, a predicted model, not a curated record